AAGUCGUAACAAGGUUUCCGUAGGUGAACCUGCGGAAGGAUCAUUAUUUGAUCUAGGGGGGCAUUUGCAAAAAUGCCGCCAAUUUGCAUUGUGAAUUGUCUUGUACUAGUGUUUUUAUUUUCUCUUUAGUUUAGCUCUCUCUUUGGAGAGAGAGCAAAAACCAAAUUAAAAGACAACUUUCAGCAAUGGAUCUCUUGGCUCUU
RNAcentral lists this unclassified non-coding RNA (203 nucleotides) under fungal sp. RNAcentral describes it as "partial internal transcribed spacer region". The stretch from base 1 to 46 matches the Rfam family "Eukaryotic small subunit ribosomal RNA", at positions 1786 to 1831 of the family's 1831-position model. The record is from RNAcentral. Lineage: Eukaryota; Fungi.